CAUGUUCUUGUUUUACCUGAAAAUGUAGGUGCUGGUGGUAUACCAGCUUACCCCAACCCUAUUUCAAGAACAGGAGUGGAGAAGAAAAUGCAGGGCCAAGUUCAACGGCAGAAAAUGACAAUGGAUGUACAGGGCUUGGAGGCAGGCCAAGGCAGACAUCCAGGAAGAUCUGAACCCUGUGGGGCCAGAGGAUGGCGGGAGCUCUGAGGAGGGAAGAGCACGUCAUGGAGACCAUAAAAAAGAGACUUGCAAGGAGGCAUUCCUUCCCUCAUCGAAGGGAAAUGGGGACCUAUGAAAGAGAUUCAUGGACUCCAGCUUUGUGCUGUCAUGAGUGACCGUUGCAAAUGUAAUUUCAGAACAGAAAUCUACCAGCACAAACCGAGGAGCGAAUGGGACCUGAGGAGAUAGUGCGAUGAUUGGAAAACCCUCCUUCAAAUGUUGUUCAUGAGGCUGAAGAAUCAGAUCACCUUCAGGGUCAGAAAGAAGAAGAUCAAAACAUCUGCCUGGUGAGUGAUGACCCCAAACCUCUGCGCCAAGAUAACUGUGAGGCUUACCAGGUCCCACGGUAAGCCCACAGUGCCGAGGAGACUAUCUUACCCCACGCACAUGCGCAGACCUCACAGCACGCUUGUCUUCUUUUUUAGCGGGUCUUUCCUGCCUUUGCUUAUCCUUUUCAUUUUGUUUGCGUUGACCACUGUAUUGAUUAUUUAAUUUUGGUCUUGCUAACUGACCUUGUGUUUUCAUCUUUUACCUCUUGACUCUUCUUCUCCUUUCUAUCAUUCACUUUCUUUGCUAACACGUGAUAGGCCUUAGCCUCUAAUGAUAGAAGCUCCUGCUUCAUCCACAGCACUCACCAGUCACCAUAACCUUCACUACUCUCUGUAAAGAAGGAGCAAAAAGUUUAUGUGCUGAGAGACAGGUGGACACCCUGGACCACAUCCUAAACCGAGGAUGCUUCAGACAAAUUAUUUACCUGUUCCAGACUGAUAAGAAUUUUGAUUCUGAAAAAAAAAUCCUUCCGUUUGCAAAACUGUCCCAACAUAAAUCCUGUCUCCACUGGGAUGUUUUAAUAGCUUACAAGGUCAGUAUGUAGCUGCUUUCCUUUCCUAACCUUGUUGCUAGGGUCAAAGUCAGGUUCACACUUUUUGAGUUCUUGGCUGCCUAUAUCCAGUUAAGACUGGGCAUGGGUAAUAAAUGCCUUCAUUCAGUCACCCAAGUGACUACGUGAACGCUGCUCUGUAGGAGUAGAUGGUGUGUGGGGACGUAUGACAAUAGAAACAUCCCUUUUUCUACAACUUUGUUCUCUCUCCCGGAUCUUUUCUCUGUCUCUCUCCAUCCCUCUCUCUCCCUCUCCAUCUCUCCUCCUCUCCUCCCUCUCUCCCCAGACUAUUCUCUUCUAAUGUAUCUAAAACACCAUUUCAUCAACCAAACAAUUUCUCUUCUAACAUAUCUAAAAUGUUAUCACAAGCUACUGACUGAGGACAAUAAAACACUGCCACGUUAUUUCUACAAAAUAUAAAGUCCCCAGGAAACAUAAUUUAAAAAUCUUUCAUAAACUAAUAGUAUCCAAAAA
This is a long non-coding RNA of Peromyscus maniculatus bairdii (prairie deer mouse), 1573 nucleotides long. RefSeq lists it as uncharacterized. The record is from RefSeq and is a predicted model, not a curated record. Lineage: Eukaryota; Metazoa; Chordata; Mammalia; Rodentia; Cricetidae.